Molecule: long non-coding RNA, 407 nt
Filed under: Mus caroli (Ryukyu mouse)
Lineage: Eukaryota; Metazoa; Chordata; Mammalia; Rodentia; Muridae
Description: lncRNA (MGP_CAROLIEiJ_G0004509.1)
Source: RNAcentral
CUUUUGAGUCUGACGGGCUGGUGGAGUGUGAGCGUGGCUCCUAAAUUUCUUGGGUAGGACUGAAGAAGCACUUUUAAGAUGUGGAAACUCAGAGAGGAUGCCACUAUUUUGAACUAUUUUGAAGGCACAGCCACCAGAGCUUUGGGGACAGGGUAUUUUAUCACAGCAACAGAAAUGAAACCAAAACAACUUCCACAAUAAAAUUCUUGAGUUUCUUGGGGCCAAGAAGAUGGCACGAUAAGAUAAAGACACUGGCCAAGCAUGACCUCCAGAGUUUGACCCUUGCAUAAAGGAUAAAUUUAAUUCCUUCAGUUGUCCUCUGACCUCCACAUGCGUCCUGUAACAUGGGUGUAUGCAUACACAUAAACACACAUCCACACGUUAAAUAAAUAAAAUAUAAUAACAGU